GAUGAACGCUAGCGGCAGGCUUAAUACAUGCAAGUCGAGGGGCAGCAGCUCUGUAGCAAUACAGAGGCUGGCGACCGGCAAACGGGUGCGGAACACGUACGCAACUUACCCAUAACUGGUGAAUAGCCCUCCGAAAGGAGGAUUAAUACAUCGUAACAUAAUGAGAUGGCAUCAUUUUUAUUAUUAUAGCUCUCGGGCGGUUAUGGAUGGGCGUGCGGCUGAUUAGGUAGUUGGCGGAGUAAUAGCCCACCAAGCCAACGAUCAGUAACUGGUGUGAGAGCACGACCAGUCACACGGGCACUGAGACACGGGGCCCGACUCCUACGGGAGCAGCAGUAAGGAAUUAUUGGUCAAUGGACGCAAGUCUGAACCAGCCAUGCCGCGUGAAGGAUGAA
Molecule: ribosomal RNA, 395 nt
Filed under: uncultured bacterium
Lineage: Bacteria
Description: bacterial SSU rRNA
Rfam family: Bacterial small subunit ribosomal RNA
Source: RNAcentral